GAUGAACGCUGGCGGCGUGCCUAAUACAUGCAAGUCGAGCGAACAGACGAGGAGCUUGCUCCUCUGACGUUAGCGGCGGCCGGGUGAGUAACACGUGGAUAACCUACCUAUAAGACUGGGACAACUUCGGGAAACCGGAGCUAUUACCGGAUAAUAUAUUGAACCGCAUGGUUCAAUAGUGAAAGACGGUUUUGCUGUCACUUAUAGAUGGAUCCGCGCCGCAUUAGCUAGUUGGUAAGGUAACGGCUUACCAAGGCAACGAUGCGUAGCCGACCUGAGAGGGUGAUCGGCCACACUGGAACUGAGACACGGUCCAGACUCCUACGGGAGGCAGCAGUAGGGAAUCGUCCGCAAUGGGCGAAAGCCUGACGGAACAACGCCGCGUGAGUGAUGAAGGUCUUCGGAUCGUAAAACUCUGUUAUUAGGGAAGAACAAAUGUGUAAGUAACUAUGCACGUCUUGACGGUACCUAAUCAGAAAGCCACGGCUAACUACGUG
RNAcentral lists this ribosomal RNA (497 nucleotides) under uncultured bacterium. RNAcentral's name for it is "partial 16S ribosomal RNA". It matches the Rfam family "Bacterial small subunit ribosomal RNA", at positions 28 to 507 of the family's 1533-position model. The record is from RNAcentral.